RNAcentral lists this ribosomal RNA (104 nucleotides) under uncultured Legionella sp. RNAcentral's name for it is "partial 16S ribosomal RNA". It matches the Rfam family "Bacterial small subunit ribosomal RNA", at positions 644 to 746 of the family's 1533-position model. The record is from RNAcentral. Lineage: Bacteria; Pseudomonadati; Pseudomonadota; Gammaproteobacteria; Legionellales; Legionellaceae.
GAGUAUAGGAGAGGGUAGUGGAAUUUCCGGUGUAGCGGUGAAAUGCGUAGAGAUCGGAAGGAACACCAGUGGCGAAGGCGGCUACCUGGCCCAAUACUGACACA